Molecule: ribosomal RNA, 301 nt
Filed under: uncultured bacterium
Lineage: Bacteria
Description: partial 16S ribosomal RNA
Rfam family: Bacterial small subunit ribosomal RNA
Source: RNAcentral
CAGUCGCCGCGGUAAUACGUAGGGUGCAAGCGUUAAUCGGAAUUACUGGGCGUAAAGCGUGCGCAGGCGGUUAUAUAAGUCAGAUGUGAAAUCCCCGGGCUCAACCUGGGAACUGCAUUUGAGACUGUAUGGCUAGAGUGUGUCAGAGGGGGGUAGAAUUCCACGUGUAGCAGUGAAAUGCGUAGAUAUGCGGAGGAACACCGAUGGCGAAGGCAAUCCCCUGGACCUGUACUGACGCUCAUGCACGAAAGCGUGGGGAGCAAACAGGAUUAGAUACCCCCGUAGUCCCUGUCUCUUAUAC